RNAcentral lists this ribosomal RNA (392 nucleotides) under uncultured bacterium. RNAcentral's name for it is "partial 16S ribosomal RNA". It matches the Rfam family "Bacterial small subunit ribosomal RNA", at positions 523 to 918 of the family's 1533-position model. The record is from RNAcentral.
AUACGGAGGAUCCGAGCGUUAUCCGGAUUUAUUGGGUUUAAAGGGUGCGCAGGCGGCCAUUUAAGUCAGCGGUUAAAUCGUGGGGCUCAACCCCAUUCUGCCGUUGAUACUGGGUGGCUUGAUUGCGGUCGAGGUUGGCGGAAUUCGUUGUGUAGCGGUGAAAUGCAUAGAUAUGACGAAGAACACCGAUUGCGUAGGCAGCUGACCAGACCGCAAAUGACGCUCAUGCACGAAAGCGCGGGGAUCGAACAGGAUUAGAUACCCUGGUAGUCCGCACAGUAAACGAUGAAUACUUGUUUUCGGCGAUAUAAUGUCGGAGGCAAAGCGAAAGCGAUAAGUAUUCCACCUGGGGAGUACGCCGGCAACGGUGAAACUCAAAGGAAUUGACGGGG